GACGAACGCUGGCGGCGUGCCUAACACAUGCAAGUCGAGCGGUAAGGCCCUUUCGGGGGUACACGAGCGGCGAACGGGUGAGUAACACGUGGGUGACCUGCCCUUAGCUCUGGGAUAAGCCUGGGAAACUGGGUCUAAUACCGGAUAUGACUCCAUGACGCAUGUUGUGGGGUGGAAAGCCUUGUGCGGCUAGGGAUGGGCCCGCGGCCUAUCAGCUUGUUGGUGGGGUGAUGGCCUACCAAGGCGACGACGGGUAGCCGGCCUGAGAGGGCGACCGGCCACACUGGGACUGAGACACGGCCCAGACUCCUACGGGAGGCAGCAGUGGGGAAUCUUGCGCAAUGGGCGAAAGCCUGACGCAGCGACGCCGCGUGAGGGAUGACGGCCUCGGUU
RNAcentral lists this ribosomal RNA (393 nucleotides) under uncultured bacterium. Its description in RNAcentral is "bacterial SSU rRNA". It matches the Rfam family "Bacterial small subunit ribosomal RNA", at positions 28 to 424 of the family's 1533-position model. The record is from RNAcentral.